This 279-nucleotide ribosomal RNA is filed under the name uncultured Bacillus sp. Its description in RNAcentral is "partial 16S ribosomal RNA". It matches the Rfam family "Bacterial small subunit ribosomal RNA", at positions 28 to 296 of the family's 1533-position model. Lineage: Bacteria; Bacillati; Bacillota; Bacilli; Caryophanales; Bacillaceae. The record is from RNAcentral.
GGGUAACGGGGGGGGCGUGCCUAUACAUGCAAGUCGAGCGAAUGGAUUAAGAGCUUGCUCUUAUGAAGUUAGCGGCGGACGGGUGAGUAACACGUGGGUAACCUGCCCAUAAGACUGGGAUAACUCCGGGAAACCGGGGCUAAUACCGGAUAACAUUUUGAACCGCAUGGUUCGAAAUUGAAAGGCGGCUUCGGCUGUCACUUAUGGAUGGACCCGCGUCGCAUUAGCUAGUUGGUGAGGUAACGGCUCACCAAGGCAACGAUGCGUAGCCGACCUGAG